Girardinichthys multiradiatus is the source of this 672-nucleotide long non-coding RNA. RefSeq lists it as uncharacterized. The transcript has 3 exons. The record is from RefSeq and is a predicted model, not a curated record. Lineage: Eukaryota; Metazoa; Chordata; Actinopteri; Cyprinodontiformes; Goodeidae.
UGGAGCUGAAGGAUCAGGGUGGACAGGUGUGUCGCAUCUUGUCAUCAGCUGGAGGACUACAAGAGGGUGGCAAGCCAACACUUUGACACCUGAGUGUUUUGCCUUUUUGUGGUUGCCCAAGUCACGCUCCAAGUAAAAGAACCUCUGAAGAACUCAUCUGACAAUAACUUGGAUUCUGAUCGUUCAUUCCUUGCCGGCCGCUGGCCCUGGUGGUUCCUCCGCAGCUUCCAGGCGAACCUUGUCCACCCUCCUUCGUCCUGCCAAGACAAUCUGUAGCACCGGCGGUUCAGCGUAGCCACACCGCCCCCACCCCCCAGGAUUGACAACCUCUCUCCCUGGCGGGCCGACCUUCAACCAGACUCCGGUGAGCAGAUCUUGGUUUUCCAGCCCCAGGUCACCUGUACAUAAAGUUCCUUCCGUGUUUUCUGCAUGUGGGUCAAGUCGGCCUUAUCCAAUAUGACAGGCCCAGACCUAUAUUUAAUUAAGAAGUUUCAGGCAGACUUAAAAUUGCUGUUCGUAGACUUGCUUCAUUCAAUCUGACUGAUCUUGGGCUAUUUUGCAACUAAGAAAAUAGUCAGAAAUUUCAGUUUGUAGAAGUACAAAGCUGGUACAGACACACCCCAAAAUCAUAUUCAGCUUUAAUUGCAGUAAAAUCUGGUUCUACAAGUUAUU